This is a non-coding RNA of Ictalurus punctatus (channel catfish), 518 nucleotides long. NCBI's taxonomy places the organism in Eukaryota, Metazoa, Chordata, Actinopteri, Siluriformes, Ictaluridae. The record is from the annotation of a RefSeq genome assembly.
GAGAAGACCCCAGUACAAUCAACACACACCAUGUUCUCUACAUCUCUACUGCUCCUGCUGGCAGCUGCUUCCUAUGUGCAUGGUGAAGAACUGACUCAGCCUGCUUCCAUGACAGUCCAGCCAGGCCAGAGUCUCUCCAUCAACUGCAAGGUUUCAUAUUCAGUUACCAGCUAUCGUACAGACUGGAUCCGACAACCUGCAGGAAAAGCUCUGGAGUGGAUUGGAUACAUCAGUAGUGGUGGUAGUACAGCUUACAGUGACAAACUGAAAAAUAAGUUCAGCAUCUCCAGAGACACUGCUACUAACACAAUAACAAUUGGAGGACAGAAUCUGCAAACUGAAGACACAGCUGUGUAUUACUGCGCAAGAGUCACAGUGACACAGAAUAGUGGAUUCUCCUUACAAAAACAUUUCUCCUUUUGAGAUUCUCCUUUGAGACAUGUUAGAGAUCCUCUCAAUGCAACUAAUAAACCAUCUCAAUCACACUAUUACAUUUUAUCCAGAGGAAUGAAUUUCAC